Molecule: ribosomal RNA, 200 nt
Filed under: uncultured bacterium
Lineage: Bacteria
Description: partial 16S ribosomal RNA
Rfam family: Bacterial small subunit ribosomal RNA
Source: RNAcentral
AGAGUUUGAUCCUGGCUCAGGACGAACGCUGGCGGCGUGCCUAAUACAUGCAAGUCGAGCGGACAGAUAAGGAGCUUGCUCCUUUGACGUUAGCGGCGGACGGGUGAGUAACACGUGGGCAACCUACCCUAUAGUUUGGGAUAACUCCGGGAAACCGGGGCUAAUACCGAAUAACCUGUUUCACCUCAUGGUGAAAUACU